GGGUUAGUCGGGUCCUAAGCUGAGGCCGACAGGCGUAGGCGAUGGAUAACAGGUUGAUAUUCCUGUACCACCUAUAAUCGUUUUAAUCGAUGGGGGGACGCAGUAGGAUAGGCGAAGCGUGCGAUUGGAUUGCACGUCUAAGCAGUAAGGCUGAGUAUUAGGCAAAUCCGGUACUCGUUAAGGCUGAGCUGUGAUGGGGAGAAGACAUUGAGUCUUCGAGUCGUUGAUUUCACACUGCCGAGAAAAGCCUCUAGAUAGAAAAUAGGUGCCCGUACCGCAAACCGACACAGGUAGUCAAGAUGAGAAUUCUAAGGUGAGCGAGCGAACUCUCGUUAAGGAACUCGGCAAAAUGACCCCGUAACUUCGGGAGAAGGGGUGCUCUUUAGGGUUAACGCCCAGAAGAGCCGCAGUGAAUAGGCCCAAGCGACUGUUUAUCAAAAACACAGGUCUCUGCUAAACCGUAAGGUGAUGUAUAGGGGCUGACGCCUGCCCGGUGCUGGAAGGUUAAGAGGAGUGGUUAGCUUCUGCGAAGCUACGAAUCGAAGCCCCAGUAAACGGCGGCCGUAACUAUAACGGUCCUAAGGUAGCGAAAUUCCUUGUCGGGUAAGUUCCGACCCGCACGAAAGGCGUAACGAUUUGGGCACUGUCUCAACGAGAGACUCGGUGAAAUCAUAGUACCUGUGAAGAUGCAGGUUACCCGCGACAGGACGGAAAGACCCCGUGGAGCUUUACUGUAGCCUGAUAUUGAAAUUCGGCACAGCUUGUACAGGAUAGGUAGGAGCCUUUGAAACGUGAGCGCUAGCUUACGUGGAGGCGCUGGUGGGAUACUACCCUAGCUGUGUUGGCUUUCUAACCCGCACCACUUAUCGUGGUGGGAGACAGUGUCAGGCGGGCAGUUUGACUGGGGCGGUCGCCUCCUAAAAGGUAACGGAGGCGCUCAAAGGUUCCCUCAGAAUGGUUGGAAAUCAUUCAUAGAGUGUAAAGGCAUAAGGGAGCUUGACUGCGAGACCUACAAGUCGAGCAGGGUCGAAAGACGGACUUAGUGAUCCGGUGGUUCCGCAUGGAAGGGCCAUCGCUCAACGGAUAAAAGCUACCCCGGGGAUAACAGGCUUAUCUCCCCCAAGAGUUCACAUCGACGGGGAGGUUUGGCACCUCGAUGUCGGCUCAUCGCAUCCUGGGGCUGUAGUCGGUCCCAAGGGUUGGGCUGUUCGCCCAUUAAAGCGGUACGCGAGCUGGGUUCAGAACGUCGUGAGACAGUUCGGUCCCUAUCCGUCGUGGGCGUAGGAAAUUUGAGAGGAGCUGUCCUUAGUACGAGAGGACCGGGAUGGACAUACCUCUGGUGUACCAGUUGUCGUGCCAACGGCAUAGCUGGGUAGCUAUGUGUGGACGGGAUAAGUGCUGAAAGCAUCUAAGCAUGAAGCCCCCCUCAAGAUGAGAUUUCCCAACUUCGGUUAUAAGAUCCCUCAAAGAUGAUGAGGUUAAUAGGUUCGAGGUGGAAGCAUGGUGACAUGUGGAGCUGACGAAUACUAAUCGAUCGAAGACUUAAUCAA
RNAcentral lists this ribosomal RNA (1550 nucleotides) under Staphylococcus aureus DAR3179. RNAcentral's name for it is "bacterial LSU rRNA". It matches the Rfam family "Bacterial large subunit ribosomal RNA", at positions 1377 to 2925 of the family's 2925-position model. The record is from RNAcentral. Lineage: Bacteria; Bacillati; Bacillota; Bacilli; Caryophanales; Staphylococcaceae.